UCAUACUCUCCCAACUUGGUCUUAAGGAAGAGAAAACAAACGAGGAAGAGGGUGAGGGAUAGAGAGAGCAGGAGACACCUGGAAGAGAAGGCUGCUUGGCUGCAGACAUAGAAGAGAAAUCACCCCUGGGAUGGGAAGUUCUUGUUUAUCUAAGAACACUGGAGGAAAGCAAAUUCUUGGAUCUAGAAAGGAAAAAUCACAGAACAAAUGCCAUGGAUGUUUGCAAAACUGGAGUUCACUGUGGGCGGUGAGGUAAGGGACACCGUAUGGAACUUGGAGAAUCUUAAUAAGUAGAAACU
This 299-nucleotide long non-coding RNA is filed under the name Homo sapiens (human). Its description in RNAcentral is "HSALNT0092984". The record is from RNAcentral. Lineage: Eukaryota; Metazoa; Chordata; Mammalia; Primates; Hominidae.